GAUGAAGAACGUAGCGAAAUGCGAUAAGUAGUGUGAAUUGCAGAAUUCAGUGAAUCAUCGAAUCUUUGAACGCACAUUGCGCCCCUUGGUAUCCCGAGGGGCAUGCCUGUUCGAGCGUCAUUUCACCACUCAAGCCUGGCUUGGUGUUGGGCGACGUCCCCUUUGGGGACGCGCCUCGAAACGCUCGGCGGCGUGGCACCGGCUUUAAGCGUAGCAGAAUCGUUCGCUUUGGAAGUCGGGGCCCCGUCUGCCGGAAGACCUACUCGCAAGGUUGACCUCGGAUCAGGCAGGGAUACCCGCUGAACUUAAGCAUAUCAAUAAGCGGAGGA
RNAcentral lists this unclassified non-coding RNA (329 nucleotides) under soil metagenome. RNAcentral's name for it is "partial contains 5.8S ribosomal RNA, internal transcribed spacer 2, and large subunit ribosomal RNA". The stretch from base 1 to 120 matches the Rfam family "5.8S ribosomal RNA", at positions 35 to 154 of the family's 154-position model. The record is from RNAcentral.